AGAACGAACGCUGGCGGCAUGCCUAACACAUGCAAGUCGAACGCCUGUAGCAAUACAGGAGUGGCGCACGGGUGAGUAACGCGUGGGAACCUACCCUGGAGUGGGGGAUAACCGAGGGAAACUUCGGCUAAUACCUCAUACGACCUGAGGGUGAAAGAUUUAUCGCUCUAGGAGGGGCCCGCGUCGGAUUAGUUAGUUGGCGGGGUAAUGGCCCACCAAGACUGUGAUCGGUAUCC
This 236-nucleotide ribosomal RNA is filed under the name uncultured bacterium. Its description in RNAcentral is "partial small subunit ribosomal RNA". It matches the Rfam family "Bacterial small subunit ribosomal RNA", at positions 26 to 288 of the family's 1533-position model. The record is from RNAcentral.